GCGGCACAGGGUGAACCCCGCCAGGCCCGGAAGGGAGCAACGGUAAGCCCUCCCUGCCGAGCGCCGCAGGGUUGCCUGGCUGGAGCCACCGGCGUCGGUAACGCCUGGAAGGCGAGUUCAAGGGUGGGGUGCGC
This 134-nucleotide signal recognition particle RNA is filed under the name Bacillota bacterium. RNAcentral's name for it is "Firmicutes bacterium (hot springs metagenome) partial signal recognition particle sRNA large type". It matches the Rfam family "Bacterial large signal recognition particle RNA", at positions 128 to 256 of the family's 256-position model. From Rfam's summary of the family: The signal recognition particle (SRP) is a universally conserved ribonucleoprotein involved in the co-translational targeting of proteins to membranes. Archaeal SRP consists of a 7S RNA and homologues of the eukaryotic SRP19 and SRP54 proteins. Lineage: Bacteria; Bacillati; Bacillota. The record is from RNAcentral.